AGAAGAUCCUAGGAGAGGUUACAGAUCCCAGAGACGAUCCUAGGAGAGGUCACAGAUCCCGGAGAAGAUCCUAGGAGAGGUCACAGAUCCCGGAGAAGAUCCUAGGAGAGGUCACAGAUCCCGGAGAAGGUCCUAGGAGAGGUCACAGAUCCCGGAGAAGGUCCUAGGAGAGGUCACAGAUCCCAGAGAAGAUCCCUGGAGAGGUCACAGAUCCCGGAGAAGAUCCUAGGAGAGGUCACAGAUCCCGGAGAAGAUCCUAGGAGAGGUCACAGAUCCCGGAGAAGGUCCUAGGAGAGGUCACAGAUCCCGGAGAAGGUCCUAGGAGAGGUCACAGAUCCCA
This is a long non-coding RNA of Nanorana parkeri, 340 nucleotides long. RefSeq lists it as uncharacterized. The transcript has 3 exons. NCBI's taxonomy places the organism in Eukaryota, Metazoa, Chordata, Amphibia, Anura, Dicroglossidae. The record is from RefSeq and is a predicted model, not a curated record.